Notolabrus celidotus (New Zealand spotty) is the source of this 143-nucleotide long non-coding RNA. RefSeq lists it as uncharacterized. Lineage: Eukaryota; Metazoa; Chordata; Actinopteri; Labriformes; Labridae. The record is from RefSeq and is a predicted model, not a curated record. The transcript has 2 exons.
GCCAUUUUCUCCUCAUGCUGAGCCAGAAGCAGACCUGUGUCUCAUCUGCUGUCAUCCUGCCAUUUAGGCUUGUGAAAGCAUCAUCUUUUCACUCUUGUUUGACAAAUGCAACUGCAUCUUAAUAAAGGAAAAACUAAGAUGAA